UUGUGUUCCUCCCGGGCCUCGAGUCUUGGGCAGCUGGUGGGAGGUCGCCCUCUAAUGGUUGGCCCUUGAGAGCCGCGGCAGGCCCCUCCGGGACGUCCUACCCGGAUCUACAGCGCGUGGUGGCCUGCAGCACUCUAGGUUGUCAUCCCUCAGAAGAAUGGUUAGAAGGUUACUACUGCUCCAAAAAAUAAAGUAGAGGGGGAAAAUCUCUGCCUCUCAUGUUUGCUGAGCAACUGGUAUCACCACACACAUAGGGAACCACGUGGGCCACGUUGCCAAAAGACAGGAGUAGCACCAAGCUAAAGCACCACGAGAGGAGAAAUGAGAACUACAGGAUGAAGGCAAUUUGGUUAUGUGAAUUUUAAAUCUGCUGCUGCUGAGGAUAAAGCUGUGGAACCUAGUGGCAUGAAGGUCCUUGGGUAUGAAAUUAAACUGAAGAAACCAAAGGGAAAUGCAAACGAGAUAGAAAUGCCAGAACACUCUUUUCAAGAACCUGCCUGACAAAGUCACUCAGCAUGAAUUAAAAGAAGUCUUUGAGGAUGCUUUUCAAAUCAGAUUGAUGAGCAAGGAUGGGAUGAGUAAAAGGUACGUUUUGUAUCUUGUGCUGAAAGUGAAUGUGUCCACUGGAUUCAAACAUAACAGAAUUUCAUUUCACUCCCCCAAAUAACUUAUGCCUGAUUUUAGAGAAGGAAACAGUAUUAUCCAGCCUUUCUACCAGCAGGCAUGAAAAGAUGAAGGGGACAUCAUAAAUGGACAGCCUAAAACUUCUUGAAAACUGUAGUGGUGUCAUAGAGAAAUGCUUAUACUUUGUUGACAGAAGUGCAAUCAGUGAAGUCUGUACAGAGAUUAAUUACCUAACAGUAUCUAUCAGUUACAGUUGCACAUAUCAUUUUAUCCUGCAGUUCCACUCCUAAGAAUCAGUCCUACAGUUAAAAGUCAGUCAUGGGUGAAAUAAUAUUACAGAGUUGUUCAAUGCAAAAUUAGAAUUGACCUGAAUAUCUAUCAGUAGAAAACUGGUUAAAAUUUUCUGGUACAUUCAGAAGAUUUUUUUUUUUAUGCAGUUGUAAAAUGAAAUGAAACAGUAUUUUGUGUACUGAUGGGAAAUAAUCUCUAAUAUGCAUGAUUAAGUAUAUCGGAGGACACACCAUACACAAAAAUUAACUCAAAGCAGAUCAAAGACUUAAAUGAAAGAGCUAAAAUAGAAAACUACAAAGGACACACAGGAGUAAAUCUUUGUGAUCUUGGGUUAGGGUAUUGCACAAGCCACAAAAGAGAAGAUGGAGAAGUUGGAUUUUAUCAAACCUGAAAAUAUUUGUACUAAAAAGGACACACCUAAAAGUCAAAAGAAAUUCUACAGACUGGAGAAAAUACUGCAAAUCAUGUAUCUGAUAAAAGACUUGUAUUCAGAAUAUAUAAAGAACUCUUAUAACUCAAUAAUAGAAAGAAAACCCAAUUAAAAAAUGGGCAAAGGACUUAACUAGACAGGAAGAACAGCACCUAGAGAGGUAAGGGAUGCUGGAGCUCUGGAGAGUGAGACUUGUCAGGGUUCCCUAGGGAGGGGCUAGUUCCCUAGCUUAGGGGUACUUGGCACUUUGAAGUACAAUUUCUCCCUGUAUCAGAAACGUGUAAGUCAUCCUCAUAAUCAGAUCAAGCUGAUGAGUAUUAUCCUAGUUAACUGUGACCUUGAUGUUGCAAAAGACAUGGCCCUUGAGACACAUCAGUUUAGAUUCCUUUUUGGGUACCUUCUAGGAUUCUGUUUGAAGAAGCUUUUAAACUGUGGUUUCAGAAGUAUGUAUUUCAUUCUCGUCAGACAUUUAAUUCUCUUCAAGUAGAUUUUUUUUGUUUUUUGGUAUCGUUAAUCUACAAUUACAUGAGGAACAUUAUGUUUACUAGACUCUUCCCAUCACUAAAUCCCGCCCACAAACCCCAUUACAGUCACUGUCCAUCAGCAUAGUAAGAUGCUGUAGAAUCACUACUUGUCUUCUCUGUGUUGCACAGCCCUCCCCGUGCCCCCCCACAUUAUACAUGCUAAUUGUAAUACUCCCUUUCUCCGCCCACUCCUUAUCCCUCCCUUCCCACCCAUCCUCCCCAGUCCCUUUCCCUUUGGUAAUUGUUAGUCCAUUCUUGGGUUCUGUGAGUCUGCUGCUGUUCUGUUCCUUCAGUUUUUGCUUUGUUCUUAUACUCCACAGAUGAGUGAAAUCAUUUGGUACUUGUCUUUCUCUGCCUGGCUUAUUUCACUGAGCAUAAUACCCUCAAGCUCCAUCCAUGUUGUUGCAAAUGGUAGGAUUUGUUUUCUUCUUAUGGCUGAAUAGUAUUCCAUUGUGUAUAUGUACCACCUCUUCUUUAUCCAUUCAUCUACUGAUGGACACUUAGGUUGCUUCCAUUUCUUGGCUAUUGUAAAUAGUGCUGCAAUAAACAUAGGGGUGCAUCUGUCUUUUUCAAACUGGGCUCCUGCAUUCUUAGGGUAAAUUCCUAGAAGUGGAAUUCCUGGGUCAAAUGGUAUUUCUAUUUUGAGCUUUUUGAGGAACCUUCAAGUAGAAUUUUUGCCAGGUUUAAACCAAAGACCCCAAACCAGUGUCCUAAUCUGCCUAAUCUGAUGAGUAGACAUGGUGGCUUAUACAGUAUUUACAGACAGAAAAUUGAGUUUAUUAUUAAUAUUUUUAAAAAUAAGAAAUUUCACACUAAAAUCUGGAUUUCCAGCUUCUUUUGUGACAUCAGAAAGCCUGG
Long non-coding RNA from Manis pentadactyla (Chinese pangolin), 2727 nucleotides. RefSeq lists it as uncharacterized. The transcript has 4 exons. NCBI's taxonomy places the organism in Eukaryota, Metazoa, Chordata, Mammalia, Pholidota, Manidae. The record is from RefSeq and is a predicted model, not a curated record.